CUCCUGAUUAAGCUGAGCCAUCCAGGGUGAAACUCCCCUGCUACCAGCAGGUAAAGUCUCUCCUCAAAGUGUUCUUCCAGUCUCCUCAGAGCGAGCCACCACACCAAAAAUAACCCCUUGUGCCCAGGCUGCUUAACUGAGUUGUGGCAAGUUUGUAUUUUGAGAAAGUUAUUACGAAUGCAAAAUGUAACUUGGAAAUAUAUCCAUAAUUUUUGUCAGAGAGCAAAAGGCAAAGAAAAUACCCAUCUAGAGAUGUGUUUUAUGCAGAUUUCUUUGCCUUUGAUUAGCAACAAGUUUCUGACUGGGUUCUAAGGGAAGAAACUUAGAGGGCAGGGAGUGCAGUGUUGCACCAGCCGUACAUGCUCUGCCUUGGAAAACCUGUCAGCGGUUUGCAAACAUGAACACAACAGAAAGGGUGUCUGAGAGCUAAGGGGCUGUAAUUCUGAUGAACCCAUUUGUCUCGCUGUAAUUCCAACAAGUCCAGUGGAAUAAAUGAUUAAUUGCCUCCAUCUGACCUCAGAACCAGGUCUGGAAUAGUUACUAUGUGCUUUGGGUUGUGCAGAAAUAUUUGUGUUGAAAGUAACACCCAGGGGCGAGGGUCUACAACUCUGAGAAAAAUGUUUCUAGAACAAUAACAUGCUUUUCAACUGCCUUCACUACUACAAAAUGAGAAAGGUAACUGCUAACAAUGACAAGUUCAGCAGCAGGAUGCAGUUCUUUCAGGUUUUAUUUUAAAAUGUUUACACUGGAGCAGCUCAGGAAGAACCAGCUGUCCAAGGGCUGCAGGCUCCAGAGAUCCGAUGAUUCAUGGAGAGGUGGGGUCAGAUGUUCCUGUGCCAGUGAUUCAUCCCUCCUGUGUCCUGCAGCUGACUCUGUGGCAUGGCCAGAGCUGAGGGCCUGGUACCAUGGUGUAAAUCAUUAUUGAUUUCAGUUUACAUGGACAUCCCUGGAUGCGAACUGCUGCAGCUGAGGACUCUGAUUCACGGUCUCUGUCAGGCUUAGAAGUGGUGUCUGAGGAGCUUUCUGAGCAUAACAACCUCUUUUCCAAAUGCAUCCAGUGCCAUACAAGUUGGGACUCUGAGUCUGGAUUACUUUGCUACCCUUUUGUGAAUAUUUAUUGCGUUCUGCUCAGUAUUUGUAUGCUGGAGUGUAAAACAGACAAAAAAUACAGUUGAAAAACUGCCUAAAAUAAAGAUCUCAGAGAGCAGGAAACACACAUAUUAUAGGAAAAAAACCACAGGGCAACAGGCCCUGUGUUCAAACUCUUGAUCAAAUUGAAAAAUUACUACUUUGUAAGUUCUUGUAAAUGCUAGAAAUAUUUUGGUGGAAGAACCUCAUCUACAUCUUGGUGGGGAAAAUGAAAUGGAAGAAAGUAUCUUUUCAUGAGAGGUCAAAAACUUUAUUUUGCCAAGUUCUUCCUAUGGUUGUGAAGAUUUUUCUUCCAGCAGAAAGGAAUUCAGACAAAUUUUGCAAAAGCAGAUGCUCAAAUGUCAUGAGGGACAUUGUCUAAAAGAAAAAAGUGUGUGUUGGGGGAGGAUUGUAUGUGCAAACCAGCCUGUUGUUGGGACCAAGAACCCAGGGUACAUCAACCUAGUAGCUGUGACAAUCUCACCUGCCUGUAAACCCACAUACAGGUAAAAUAAGUAGAGAGCAGCAACCUGCUAAGCCACUGAUUCAUCUGUAGAUUAGAUAGAAUAUAGACCCUUAGAUUUGUGCAAAGGUUGAGAUAGCUUCUAGACUGAGCUGAAGUUUCAAAGGGAUUUGUCCUGAUUUGUUAUUUCUCCAUGAAAACACCUCACCAGCUGUCCAGAAUUCAUAUGCCUUUCAAACCACAGUGUGCAAACAACAGAAAGUUUGUUUUGCCAUGUCCCCCUGGCACCCACACAUAUUAAAAGCACCAUACUUCAGUGCCCAGGCAGAUAACUUCGAUUAUUAGCAUUUUUAGACAACUGUUAGAAACGUUUCUAUCUUCUUUUACUACAUAGGGUGAAUUGCAACCAGACAGACCACUCUUAGUCAUGGCAUUAUGAUGGCCAGUGCACGUGAGUGGACAAGAAAUUGGAUUAUACAUCAGACUUCCGUUUCCUCUCUGCUCCUCCUUUGCUCUGGGGCAGGACCUUUCUCAUCUCCUGUGAAUUUCCCUGCUCCUGUCCUGCUGGGCCUUUUGGUCAGCCUGCAGAGAGAUGCAAACCCAGGCUGUGCCCACUUCUUCCCUUCCCAUGGCUUUCCUCUGCCUCCUUCUGUCCCUCUGAGACCACCUGGAAACAGUCCAAAGGAGAACAGUAAGAUUGCCAAAAUUAUUUUAACAAAAGAUGUGAUUUUAGAUGUUAGAUUUUACCUAAAUGAGAGAAGUGGAAGAGUUGUGUGGUUUAGUGUGGCAAAGAAUAUGGGAAAUGGAGAUGCAAGGGCAGGAUGUGGUAGCAGUCUUCAAAUCUUUGAAAGCCUGCAGCAGAGGGCUGAGUCUGUAAAUUGCCUGGGCUUUGUUUCAGGUCUGCAACAGGUGAGAGGCAGUGGUUAAAGUGCAAUAAGACUUCAGAAAAGCUGUCUCAUGUUUAAGGCAGUUGGGCAGUGGGAUGAACAGGCUGUGACAUCUCCAUCACUGAGUGCUGUUACCAAGAUUUUUGGAUGUUCUGUCAGCAGCAGCUGAUUCUGCUUUGGGACGAGGGAAUGGACAAAGAGAUCUUUUGGGAAGAUCCAGAUUUGUUCUAAUCCAGGAAAUAGGGUCAGGAAGGGGGCUGACAUAGUGACAUGGCAGGGCCAUGCACAGAACAAGAUGCAAUUAGGCUGCAUGGAGACCAGUAUUGUGGAUAAUUCAAGUAUGCAAAAAGCCUGUACAAAAUACUGGUUGGGCAUGAUACAUCUUUACAGUUACGUUUCUGUCCUGGUACCAAUGCCACUCAUCAUUAGGGAAGGGGCAGGAAAAUGUAAUUUCUUUCAUUCUUUUAAUGCAACUAUUGGAUGUGAAAAUUGCAGCCCACAGCUUCCACAUUUUGAAUCUGCUACUGCACUUAAUUUGGAGGUAUCCUUGACCCCCCUGGAAUGGGUUAGUGACUUCCUGCUUUCUUAGUGGUAUCUUGACCUGCUUUAGACUUGCAUUUUAUUUACGGGUUUAUUUCAAAGUGCUGGUUUUGAUGUACAAAGCUCUUUUUGGAUUGGAUCCUGUAUAUCUCUGAAAUUACCUGUCUUUUGUAUUUUGCUUCAAGA
Molecule: long non-coding RNA, 3204 nt
Organism: Zonotrichia leucophrys gambelii
Lineage: Eukaryota; Metazoa; Chordata; Aves; Passeriformes; Passerellidae
Exons: 6
Source: RefSeq, a predicted model, not a curated record